This 260-nucleotide ribosomal RNA is filed under the name uncultured bacterium. Its description in RNAcentral is "partial 16S ribosomal RNA". It matches the Rfam family "Bacterial small subunit ribosomal RNA", at positions 524 to 784 of the family's 1533-position model. The record is from RNAcentral.
UACGUAGGGUGCGAGCGUUAAUCGGAAUUACUGGGCGUAAAGGGUGCGCAGGCGGAUAUGUAAGUUAGAUGUGAAAUCCCCGAGCUUAACUUGGGAAUGGCAUUUAAGACUGCAUGUCUAGAGUUUGUCAGAGGGGGGUAGAAUUCCAAGUGUAGCAGUGAAAUGCGUAGAGAUUUGGAGGAAUACCAGUGGCGAAGGCGACCCCUGGGAUAGAACUGACGCUCAGGCACGAAAGCGUGGGUAGCAAACAGGAUUAGAAA